Molecule: ribosomal RNA, 465 nt
Filed under: Vreelandella stevensii
Lineage: Bacteria; Pseudomonadati; Pseudomonadota; Gammaproteobacteria; Oceanospirillales; Halomonadaceae
Description: partial 16S ribosomal RNA
Rfam family: Bacterial small subunit ribosomal RNA
Source: RNAcentral
CCUACGGGGUGCUGCAGUGGGGAAUAUUGGACAAUGGGCGAAAGCCUGAUCCAGCCAUGCCGCGUGUGUGAAGAAGGCCUUCGGGUUGUAAAGCACUUUCAGUGGGGAAGAAAGCCUUGGGGCUAAUACCCUCGAGGAAGGACAUCACCCACAGAAGAAGCACCGGCUAACUCCGUGCCAGCAGCCGCGGUAAUACGGAGGGUGCGAGCGUUAAUCGGAAUUACUGGGCGUAAAGCGCGCGUAGGCGGUCUGAUAAGCCGGUUGUGAAAGCCCCGGGCUCAACCUGGGAACGGCAUCCGGAACUGUCAGGCUAGAGUGCAGGAGAGGAAGGUAGAAUUCCCGGUGUAGCGGUGAAAUGCGUAGAGAUCGGGAGGAAUACCAGUGGCGAAGGCGGCCUUCUGGACUGACACUGACGCUGAGGUGCGAAAGCGUGGGUAGCUAACAGGAUUAGAUACCCUAGUAGUC